RNAcentral lists this ribosomal RNA (502 nucleotides) under uncultured bacterium. RNAcentral's name for it is "bacterial SSU rRNA". It matches the Rfam family "Bacterial small subunit ribosomal RNA", at positions 33 to 524 of the family's 1533-position model. The record is from RNAcentral.
AUGACGCUGGCGGCAGGCCUAACACAUGCAAGUCGUAGCGGCAGCACGGGUACUUGUACCUGGUGGCGAGCGGCGGACGGGUGAGUAAUGCCUAGGAAUCUGCCUGGUAGUGGGGGAUAACGCUCGGAAACGGACGCUAAUACCGCAUACGUCCUACGGGAGAAAGCAGGGGACCUUCGGGCCUUGCGCUAUCAGAUGAGCCUAGGUCGGAUUAGCUAGUUGGUGAGGUAAUGGCUCACCAAGGCGACGAUCCGUAACUGGUCUGAGAGGAUGAUCAGUCACACUGGAACUGAGACACGGUCCAGACUCCUACGGGAGGCAGCAGUGGGGAAUAUUGGACAAUGGGCGAAAGCCUGAUCCAGCCAUGCCGCGUGUGUGAAGAAGGUCUUCGGAUUGUAAAGCACUUUAAGUUGGGAGGAAGGGCAGUUACCUAAUACGUGAUUGUUUUGACGUUACCGACAGAAUAAGCACCGGCUAACUCUGUGCCAGCAGCCGCGGUAAU